This 474-nucleotide ribosomal RNA is filed under the name uncultured bacterium. Its description in RNAcentral is "bacterial SSU rRNA". It matches the Rfam family "Bacterial small subunit ribosomal RNA", at positions 335 to 798 of the family's 1533-position model. The record is from RNAcentral.
ACUCCUACGGGAGGCAGCAGUGGGGAAUAUUGGACAAUGGGGGAAACCCUGAUCCAGCCAUGCCGCGUGUGUGAAGAAGGCCUUCGGGUUGUAAAGCACUUUCAGUGGGGAGGAAAGGUUGAUGGUUAAUACCUAUCAGCUGUGACGUUACCCACAGAAGAAGCACCGGCUAACUCCGUGCCAGCAGCCGCGGUAAUACGGAGGGUGCAAGCGUUAAUCGGAAUUACUGGGCGUAAAGCGUGCGCAGGCGGUCUGUUAAGCGAGAUGUGAAAGCCCCGGGGCUCAACCUCGGAACUGCAUUUCGAACUGGUCAUCUAGAGUACUGUAGAGGGUGGUGGAAUUUCCAGUGUAGCGGUGAAAUGCGUAGAGAUUGGAAGGAACAUCAGUGGCGAAGGCGGCCACCUGGACAGAUACUGACGCUGAGGCACGAAAGCGUGGGGGAGCAAACAGGAUUAGAUACCCUGGUAGACUGUC